AUUGAACGCUGGCGGCAGGCCUAACACAUGCAAGUCGAACGAGUGGCGGACGGGUGAGUAAUGUCUGGUAAACUUCCUGAUGGAGGGGGAUAACUACUUGAAACGGUAGCUAAUACCGCAUACCAUCGGAUUUGCCCAGAUGGGAUUAGCUAGUAGGUGGGGUAAAGGCUCACCUAGGCGACGGUCCCUAGCUGGUCUGAGAGGCUGACCAGCACCACGGGAACUGAGCCACGGUCCAGACCCCUCCGGGAGGCAGCAGUGGGGAAUAUUGCACAAUGGGCACAAGCCUGAUGCAGCCAUGCCGCGUGUGUGAAGAAGGCCUUCGGGUUGUAAAGUACUUUCAGCGGGGAGGCGUUACCCGCAGAAGAAGCACCGGCUAACUCCGUGCCAGCAGCCGCGGUAAUUC
RNAcentral lists this ribosomal RNA (406 nucleotides) under uncultured bacterium. RNAcentral's name for it is "partial 16S ribosomal RNA". It matches the Rfam family "Bacterial small subunit ribosomal RNA", at positions 30 to 526 of the family's 1533-position model. The record is from RNAcentral.